Molecule: ribosomal RNA, 443 nt
Filed under: uncultured bacterium
Lineage: Bacteria
Description: partial 16S ribosomal RNA
Rfam family: Bacterial small subunit ribosomal RNA
Source: RNAcentral
CCUACGGGUGGCAGCAGUGGGGAAUAUUGGGCAAUGGGCGCAAGCCUGAACCAGCACCGCCGCGUGAAGGAAGAAGGCUCUCGGGUUGUAAACUUCUUUUCUCCGGGACGAAGACAGUGACGGUACCUGAGGAAUAAGCCACGUCUAACUAGGUGCCAGCAGCCGCGUUAAUACGUAGGUGGCAGGCGUUAUCCGGAUUUAUUGGGUGUAAAGGGCGUGUAGGCUGCAGCGCAAGUCAGAUGUGAAAUGUCAGGGCUCAACCCUGAGCCUGCAGUUGAAACUGGGGUUCUUGAGUGCUGGAGAGGCAAUCGGAAUUCCGGGUGUAGCGGUGAAAUGCGUAGAUAUACGGAGGAACACCAGGUGCGAAGGCGGAUUGCUGGACAGUAACUGACGCUGAGGCGCGAAAGCGUGGGGAGCAAACAGGAUUAGAUACCCUAGUAGUC